Small nucleolar RNA from Peromyscus eremicus (cactus mouse), 143 nucleotides. RefSeq annotates it as small nucleolar RNA SNORA43. The transcript has a single exon. Lineage: Eukaryota; Metazoa; Chordata; Mammalia; Rodentia; Cricetidae. The record is from RefSeq and is a predicted model, not a curated record.
GCUGUCCUACAGCUGUCAGCACCACAGGCACAGCACAGUUGCUCAGCUGUGCCUGUGACAUGGGGGCAAAGAGCAAGUGGCUAUUUGUAAGCUCAGUGUUUAGAAGCCAGUGGGCACUAAGAAUGUUUCCUAGCAUGACAUUU